RNAcentral lists this long non-coding RNA (1432 nucleotides) under Equus caballus (horse). Its description in RNAcentral is "lncRNA (ENSECAG00000030472.3)". Lineage: Eukaryota; Metazoa; Chordata; Mammalia; Perissodactyla; Equidae. The record is from RNAcentral.
CGAAGCUCUGUUCCCUCUGGCUGACAGUCUUUCAAGUUGGUAAAAAUGACAUAGAAGAUUUCCUUUCUCUGCUGAGGAAGAUUAGCCCUGAGCUAACAUCUGUGCCGAUCUUCCUCUACUUUGUAUGUGGGUCACCGCUACAGCACAGCUGACGAGUGAUGUAUAUCCACGCCUGGGAGCCGAACCCGUGAACCUGGGCUGCUGAAGGGGAGUGCACCGAACUUAACCACUGCGCCACAGGACCAGCCCUGAGAAGCAGCAGAACAGAAAGAACGUCAGCGGAACAGAAAGGAGUCCCUGCUUUCAGAGGUGGCACAAAGCUCCAGAAUCACCACGGGCUUUGUGCUGGGUCAGCUGGCACCCACCUGGCAGGUUUUAGGAAGAACAAGAGCGUUCGUUUGAAUAGAUGGUCUGAGAAGCAAGCUCCUAGAUGGAGCAUCAAGUGGAACGCCCAUCCCACAGGGCAGCAUGGCAGCAGGCUUCCAUGAGUGAGCAAUCCAAGAGACAGCAAGACAGAAGCCAACGUCUUUAAUAACCUAGAUUCUGAGUGGCACACCAUCGCUUUGGUCCUAUACUGUUGGCCACACAGACCGACCCUGAUACAAUGUGGGAGGGAUCCACACAAGGAAGCAGGCACCAGGAAACAGCAUUAUUGAGAGCCAUCUCAAAGGCUGCCUGGCUACCAUGAGCCUCCUCUGAGAGACGGCUGCUUCGGACACAUCUUUUCACUGCCAAUAUUUGACACAGGUCUGGUCAGGUAGGAGGUGCCCAAUGAGGUUUGUUGAUGAUGAAGAGAUGUUGGGCACUCACCAUAAGCUGGAAUUAAAUGAAAAGUCCUCCUGAGGAUGAGGCAUAAUCAGAAAUAUUUCUUAAUAGACAUAAUUAAUACUGCAGAAUAUUUUUCUGAUUUUCAAUUGUUUUCAUUUAUAUUAAUAAAGUAAGGCUUGGGCCUAAGUAGGAUAAAAUUAAAUGUCCAGGGGAUGGCUUGAAAUGGGCCCUAACUGACUAUUUCCUCCCUAACUAUUAUGGUGGGCACUAAUUCUAUUCAAAACCACAAGAAGGAUAAGGCAUCAUCAGAGAAAGAUAAACCUCACACAAUUGGUUUUUAAAGAAAAUUUUUACAUCCCACAUUAUUCUAAAUGGGUUUAUAGUAAGCCCUUGCCUUUUUUUAUUCUCAGAAACUGAAGUUGGACUCCUUGAGAAGAAUGAUUAAUCUAAACUCACCAGCCAUUAACUAAGGAUUGGUUUAUUAUACAGACUUGAAGGAAGACCUCGUCUCCUCUCCUAACUUCUUUGCUCUCCAUGAGUUCUUAAUCUCCAAGACCAGACAAAAACAAAGGAUUUUUAGAGUAAGGUCGGUAUAAAAACUUCCCCACCAUUUUUUUUUACUGUUUUCCAAUUUACAGAAAAAUAAAGCUGGAGUAGAAAUAAA